AAUGAGCUUUCCUGAUCUCAAAGCUACAAUAAGAGGACCUAAAAGUCAAAGAAAAUAAAGACAGAAUGUUUCACUGGCCACUGGCACUUGGCCAGGAUGCAGAGACUCUACAGUGGCAACACCUGACAGCCAAAAGUCCGCCAGUCUUACCGCCUGUUUCUCCACCAGGGGAGUGGAGCCACGGGUUGUUGCCUGGAGCCUGGCCACAACUUCCUUUUCCCAUCUGAAUAAGCCACUCAGCUUUUGUAAAUGUUGGCCACCAAUAAUUAGGAUAAGACUGACAGGGGCUGGCAACCACGUGGCCUGACCUUCCACCACCAGUAACACAUGACCCAGGCCGCUCGGCAACUCACUCCCUCCACCCCACCCAGGACAGGGUGCUCUGGGGACUGGCAUGUGGCCAAAGGCAGGCUCGCUGGAGACGUUAUGGGGAUGGUGAGGGAGGUGAGGGAAGGGGCAGCCCUUCCCUGGGGACUGCUCUCUGGAUGGAAGCUAUAAAGUUAAGGCUUCAACUGUCAUCUGCAUUGGGUUUCUAUUACUUGUAACCAAGAGCCUUGCUUAUUACAGUAACAGAAAACUAAAAUGUUAUCAUGGCUUUCAUUUCUUCCUUCUAUUUUUUUCCUACAUUAAUUUGCUUGUUUUUGCAAAAGUGGAAACCCAGAUCUUAAAGUAUAACUCAAUUGAACUCAACUGAAUCCUCCUUGAACUCUGCUUUGGUAUCCUAAACUAAUAAAGAAAAGAGGUUUACAUUUCAGAAACAAGUCCUCCAAGCCUAAUCAAAAAGUUCCAGAAAACUGUUUUCUCUAGGAAGGCAGUAUAGAUGAUGCGAGCAAUGUGAGCGCUAAGUGUGAUCUCCGUUCCAACACUGUCUCAACUGCUCAGUAGCCGUGUGAACUCAUCUGUCUUUUGGAAAAUAUCUCCUCCCAUGGAGAAGAACACAGUACCCACCUCAUAGGUGGAGAUAUUCAAUGAGGUGGCACAAGUCACGUGUACGCAUCUCCCCAUAUCCUUUCCCAAACUCAACACGAUGGCACUUUUUGCUUUUUAAAUUAAAAAAAAAAAAAGCUAAUUUUAAUGUUAACAUUUACCAAGUGCCAGACACUAUUUUAACUGCUUUCCAUCUAUCAACUCAUUUAAUCCCCAAACAAGCUGGUGAGGCAGGUGCCAUUAGUACCCACCUCUUUCUCAGCGAGGAACAGGAGGCCGAGUGACCUGCCCAGCGUGUCCCAC
Molecule: long non-coding RNA, 1230 nt
Filed under: Homo sapiens (human)
Lineage: Eukaryota; Metazoa; Chordata; Mammalia; Primates; Hominidae
Description: HSALNT0275107
Source: RNAcentral